RNAcentral lists this ribosomal RNA (499 nucleotides) under uncultured bacterium. RNAcentral describes it as "partial 16S ribosomal RNA". It matches the Rfam family "Bacterial small subunit ribosomal RNA", at positions 32 to 523 of the family's 1533-position model. The record is from RNAcentral.
AAUCAACGCUGGCGGCGUGCCUAACACAUGCAAGUCGAACGCGAAAGUGGAGCAAUCCAUGAGUAGAGUGGCGAACGGGUGAGUAAUGUAUCGGAACGUACCAUUGAGUGGGGGAUAACUAUCCGAAAGGAUAGCUAAUACCGCAUAUUCUCUCCGGAGGAAAGCAGGGGACCGCAAGGCCUUGCGCUCAUUGAGCGGCCGAUAUCAGAUUAGCUAGUUGGUGAGGUAAAGGCUCACCAAGGCGACGAUCUGUAGCGGGUCUGAGAGGAUGAUCCGCCACACUGGAACUGAGACACGGUCCAGACUCCUACGGGAGGCAGCAGUGGGGAAUUUUGGACAAUGGGGGCAACCCUGAUCCAGCCAUGCCGCGUGAGUGAAGAAGGCCUUCGGGUUGUAAAGCUCUUUCGGCCGGGAAAAAAUCGCAUGGGUUAAUACCCUGUGUGGAUGAUGGUACCGGAAUAAGAAGCACCGGCUAACUACGUGCCAGCCGCCGCAGUAA